This 46-nucleotide non-coding RNA is filed under the name Trichobilharzia regenti. Lineage: Eukaryota; Metazoa; Platyhelminthes; Trematoda; Strigeidida; Schistosomatidae. The record is from RNAcentral.
GUACUGCUGAAGAGUCCCAAACUAGGACGAAACAAACUGCCAGUAC